Molecule: ribosomal RNA, 388 nt
Filed under: uncultured bacterium
Lineage: Bacteria
Description: bacterial SSU rRNA
Rfam family: Bacterial small subunit ribosomal RNA
Source: RNAcentral
GACGAACGCUGGCGGCGUGCUUAACACAUGCAAGUCGAGCGGUAAGGCCCUUUCGGGGGUACACGAGCGGCGAACGGGUGAGUAACACGUGGGUGACCUGCCCUCAGCUCUGGGAUAAGCCUGGGAAACCGGGUCUAAUACUGGAUAUGACUCCAUGACGCAUGUUGUGGGGUGGAAAGCCUUGUGCGGCUGAGGAUGGGCCCGCGGCCUAUCAGCUUGUUGGUGGGGUGAUGGCCUACCAAGGCGACGACGGGUAGCCGGCCUGAGAGGGCGACCGGCCACACUAGGACUGAGACGCGGCCCAGACUCCUACGGGAGGCAGCAGUGGGGAAUCUUGCGCAAUGGGCGAAAGCCUGACGCAGCGACGCCGCGUGAGGGAUGACGGCCU